Molecule: ribosomal RNA, 557 nt
Filed under: uncultured bacterium
Lineage: Bacteria
Description: bacterial SSU rRNA
Rfam family: Bacterial small subunit ribosomal RNA
Source: RNAcentral
ACGCACAGCGAAGGUGCUUGCACCUUUCAGUGAGUGGCGAACGGGUGAGUAACACGUGGACAACCUGCCUCAAGGCUGGGGAUAACAUUUGGAAACAGAUGCUAAUACCGAAUAAAACUCAGUGUCGCAUGACACAAAGUUAAAAGGCGCUUUGGCGUCACCUAGAGAUGGAUCCGCGGUGCAUUAGUUAGUUGGUGGGGUAAAGGCCUACCAAGACAAUGAUGCAUAGCCGAGUUGAGAGACUGAUCGGCCACAUUGGGACUGAGACACGGCCCAAACUCCUACGGGAGGCUGCAGUAGGGAAUCUUCCACAAUGGGCGAAAGCCUGAUGGAGCAACGCCGCGUGUGUGAUGAAGGCUUUCGGGUCGUAAAGCACUGUUGUAUGGGAAGAACAGCUAGAAUAGGGAAUGAUUUUAGUUUGACGGUACCAUACCAGAAAGGGACGGCUAAAUACGUGCCAGCAGCCGCGGUAAUACGUAUGUCCCGAGCGUUAUCCGGAUUUAUUGGGCGUAAAGCGAGCGCAGACGGUUGAUUAAGUCUGAUGUGAAAGCCCGGAG